CAGCAGCCGCGGUAAUACGUAGGUGGCAAGCGUUGUCCGGAAUUAUUGGGCGUAAAGGGCUCGCAGGCAGUUUCUUAAGUCUGAUGUGAAAGCCCCCGGCUCAACCGGGGAGGGUCAUUGGAAACUGGGAAACUUGAGUGCAGAAGAGGAGAGUGGAAUUCCACGUGUAGCGGUGAAAUGCGUAGAGAUGUGGAGGAACACCAGUGGCGAAGGCGACUCUCUGGUCUGUAACUGACGCUGAGGAGCGAAAGCGUGGGGAGCGAACAGGAUUAGAUACCCCAGUAGUCCCUGUCUCUUAUAC
This 301-nucleotide ribosomal RNA is filed under the name uncultured bacterium. Its description in RNAcentral is "partial 16S ribosomal RNA". It matches the Rfam family "Bacterial small subunit ribosomal RNA", at positions 509 to 807 of the family's 1533-position model. The record is from RNAcentral.